Molecule: long non-coding RNA, 2330 nt
Organism: Taeniopygia guttata (zebra finch)
Lineage: Eukaryota; Metazoa; Chordata; Aves; Passeriformes; Estrildidae
Source: Ensembl
GGGGACUUGAAAUUUGUAUUGGGAGAUUGCCAUAACAUUUUUGGUGCUGUUAAGUUGUCCUGCAGCCGUUUGACACUAGUUCUAACUUCCUUUCAGAUGCAGACAGUUCAAAUCGGUGGCAGAGGGCACCAGCCCUGGGUGAUGAUCUUCCCAUGAGCAGGAGGUCCAGACAGAUAGCAGCAGUCAAGGCCCAGGGUGCCAGGUGAGCAGUGGACAGAAGCAGUUGUUCUUGCUCAGGUCUCAAUUUUUGGUGCAACUGUAAGCAUCCAUUCUUGUUUUUCUGCUUUAGGGAAUCCACUUGGAGUAUGCCUAGCAGCUGUCACCAACCGGCUGAUGGCCCGGGUUUCCUGUGCUUGUGAACCCUCUGGAAGCAUUACAGGACUCUGUGAUGAAGCCUUGAAAUUUUGUAUUUCAAGAUGGCAUCGGGGUAGCCUUUGGCAGUGGCCAAGGAGGCAGACCCUACAAUGACGGUGGCAGCCUCUGAGCAUGGCCAAAGUGUGCAGCCCGAGCAACUGGGCAUUCUUAGGAGAAUGCUGAGCAAGGGAACACAGCCCCGUGACCACAGGACCUUCCCAGCAGGCGAGGCAGCCUUCUCAACCCCAGAUGCUGGAGAGAUAAGUCAAGGGCUAAGGCCCACAGAGGGGAAUCAGCUUUGUGGGCGGGGAUGUGCAAGAAGUGCCCCUCUAGGCCACUUAAAGGGAAAGUGUCUGUUUAGAUCACAGUGCUGAGGUGCACAGGGCAGAGCAGUUCCGGUGUGUGUCCCGUCACUUGUCUCUGGUGCGUUCUGUGUUCUUUGGGUCUCUCGGUCCUUGCAGACGUUGUUCUCAUCUAAAGCUCUCUCUCCCUCUCCUGUCCCCUGGUUUGUCACGUCCUGUGUGUUGUCACGGGUGUGUGCCCACAUUUGUCCCACAACUGCUCUGCCCUGGUGCAUAGCUUGUAACAGCACAAGUUCUGGGGACUUGAAAUUUGUAUUGGGAGAUUGCCAUAACAUUUUUGGUGCUGUUAAGUUGUCCUGCAGCCGUUUGACACUAGUUCUAACUUCCUUUCAGAUGCAGACAGUUCAAAUCGGUGGCAGAGGGCACCAGCCCUGGGUGAUGAUCUUCCCAUGAGCAGGUCAGUCAUUGUUUGCAUUUGCAGGGGAAGCGUAAAUGGGUGACUGUGUUACAGCGGUGUUCUUUGCCUUUAUUUUUAGGAGGUCCAGACAGAUAGCAGCAGUCAAGGCCCAGGGUGCCAGGUGAGCAGUGGACAGAAGCAGUUGUUCUUGCUCAGGUCUCAAUUUUUGGUGCAACUGUAAGCAUCCAUUCUUGUUUUUCUGCUUUAGGGAAUCCACUUGGAGUAUGCCUAGCAGCUGUCACCAACCGGCUGAUGGCCCGGGUUUCCUGUGCUUGUGAACCCUCUGGAAGCAUUACAGGACUCUGUGAUGAAGCCUUGAAAUUUUGUAUUUCAAGAUGGCAUCGGGGUAGCCUUUGGCAGUGGCCAAGGAGGUGCGGCAAGUCACUGAGGUAGGGAGCGGGAGCCAAGGUCCGCUUAGGUUUCAGCAAUGCCGAGUCACUUUGUCUCUCCUUAACCCAGGCAGACCCUACAAUGACGGUGGCAGCCUCUGAGCAUGGCCAAAGUGUGCAGCCCGAGCAACUGGGCAUUCUUAGGAGAAUGGUGAGUAGCAGAAUUGCUGGGUUUUUUCCAUGGUGCAGCUAAGAUCAUGCAGUGAUGUUUGGUGUUCUUGAUUGUAGCUGAGCAAGGGAACACAGCCCCGUGACCACAGGACCUUCCCAGCAGGCGAGGCAGCCUUCUCAACCCCAGAUGCUGGAGAGAUAAGUCAAGGGCUAAGGCCCACAGAGGGGAAUCAGCUUUGUGGGCGGGGAUGUGCAAGAAGUGCCCCUCUAGGCCACUUAAAGGGAAAGUGUCUGUUUAGAUCACAGUGCUGAGGUGCACAGGGCAGAGCAGUUCCGGUGUGUGUCCCGUCACUUGUCUCUGGUGCGUUCUGUGUUCUUUGGGUCUCUCGGUCCUUGCAGACGUUGUUCUCAUCUAAAGCUCUCUCUCCCUCUCCUGUCCCCUGGUUUGUCACGUCCUGUGUGUUGUCACGGGUGUGUGCCCACAUUUGUCCCACAACUGCUCUGCCCUGGUGCAUAGCUUGUAACAGCACAAGUUCUGGGGACUUGAAAUUUGUAUUGGGAGAUUGCCAUAACAUUUUUGGUGCUGUUAAGUUGUCCUGCAGCCGUUUGACACUAGUUCUAACUUCCUUUCAGAUGCAGACAGUUCAAAUCGGUGGCAGAGGGCACCAGCCCUGGGUGAUGAUCUUCCCAUGAGCAGGUCAGUCAUUGUUUGCAUUU